This 304-nucleotide ribosomal RNA is filed under the name uncultured bacterium. Its description in RNAcentral is "bacterial SSU rRNA". It matches the Rfam family "Bacterial small subunit ribosomal RNA", at positions 28 to 334 of the family's 1533-position model. The record is from RNAcentral.
GAUGAACGCUGGCGGCGUGCCUAAUACAUGCAAGUCGAACGCGAGCACUUGUGCUCGAGUGGCGAACGGGUGAGUAAUACAUAAGUAACCUGCCCUAGACAGGGGGAUAACUAUUGGAAACGAUAGCUAAGACCGCAUAGGUACGGACACUGCAUGGUGACCGUAUUAAAAGUGCCUCAAAGCACUGGUAGAGGAUGGACUUAUGGCGCAUUAGCUGGUUGGCGGGGUAACGGCCCACCAAGGCGACGAUGCGUAGCCGACCUGAGAGGGUGACCGGCCACACUGGGACUGAGACACGGCCCUU